This 841-nucleotide ribosomal RNA is filed under the name Hypotrachyna sorocheila. Its description in RNAcentral is "SSU rRNA". It matches the Rfam family "Bacterial small subunit ribosomal RNA", at positions 359 to 1151 of the family's 1533-position model. The record is from RNAcentral. Lineage: Eukaryota; Fungi; Ascomycota; Lecanoromycetes; Lecanorales; Parmeliaceae.
GAGGAUGAAUAGCACUAGCUAGUUGCAUCAUUGUAAUGAGGAUGCAAUAUUGACUAUGUUGAAUAAAAUUCUAGGUAGAAUUAUGAUAAUGACAUUGUCUGCCUAUGUGUCUUGACCAAAUUACGUGCCAGCAGUCGCGGUAAUACGUAGAAGACUAGUGUUAUUCAUGUUUAAUCGGUUUAAAGGGUACCUAGACGGCAGAUCAAGCUUUCCGAGAAGAAAAAAAAGAGAAAAAAGGACUAAUUUGCUAGAGUUACUUACGAGGGGGUUUUAAAGUACUGCUGGUGUAGAGAUGAAAUUCUGUCAUACCUCUUUUCGAAAGAAAAAUGAUGGCACAGGUAUAGGCGAAGGCAUCCCCUUAUGUGAUAACUGACGUUGAGGGACGAAGGCUUUAUAUAACGAACAGGAUUAGAUACCCCAGUAGUGGAAGCAGUAAAUGAUGAAUGUCAUAGAUUAGCUAGAUAGGUUCAUUCUAUAAAUGAAAGUGUAAGCAUUCCACCUCAUGAGUAAUUUGGCAACAUUGGAAUUGAAAUCAUUAGACCGUUUCUGAAACCAGUAGUGAAGUAUGUUGUUUAAUUUGAUGAUCCGCAAAAAACCUUACCACAAUUUGAAUAUUUAUAUUUUUUUUUAUUGUUUUCUUAUUAAUUUUCUUCUCUUUAAUUUAAGAACAAAGUAUUAAAGAAAAGAGGAAAAUAUUUAAUGCAGAGGCAAUAAGAUAUAUUUACAAGCGUUGCACGGCUGUCUUCAGUUAAUGUCGUGAGACUUUGGUUAGAUCCAUUAAAUUAACGUAAACCCUUACUUUAUUUUUAGAAGAGUUGUUCCCCACUAUAUUGGAUAAGAU